AUACGUAGGGUGCAAGCGUUAAUCGGAAUUACUGGGCGUAAAGCGUGCGCAGGCGGUUUUGUAAGACAGUGGUGAAAUCCCCGGGCUCAACCUGGGAACUGCCAUUGUGACCGCAAGGCUGGAGUGCGGCAGCGGGGGAUGGAAUUCAGCGGGUAGCAGUGAAAUGCGUAGAUAUGCGGAGGAACACCGAUGGCGCAGGCAAUCCCCUGGGCCUGCACUGACGCUCAUGCACGAAAGCGUGGGGAGCAAACAGGAUUAGAUACCCUGGUAGUCCACGCCCUAAACGAUGUCAACUUGUUGUUGGGGAUUUAUUUUCUCAGUAACGAAGCUAACGCGUGAAGUUGACCGCCUUGGGAGUACGGCCGCAAGGUUAAAACUCAAAUGAAUUGACGGGG
This 395-nucleotide ribosomal RNA is filed under the name uncultured bacterium. Its description in RNAcentral is "partial 16S ribosomal RNA". It matches the Rfam family "Bacterial small subunit ribosomal RNA", at positions 523 to 918 of the family's 1533-position model. The record is from RNAcentral.